UGUACAUCAAAAGAUGGAGCUAACGCAAUGGCUUUAAGAAGCCGUUGCAUUAGGUGUACUAAUACAACAACCUGAAAGGCUAUUGCCACGGCAGUUCACUCCGUAUGAAAAUGCGCUUAAUUAAUUAGUUCACUCUCCUCAGAUCUCACCACCUCAGUUCUCACUCCUCUCUCUGUCUCUCCUUCUCCCUAUUCUCUUCCUCCAAGACGAAGGCAACCAUCACCGCAGCCGUAACCACAUCCACAACCACCGUCGCUCACAAAAUUAAAUUCUCUCUCUUUCUUCAUCCUCCUCAUUCACUGAUGGUCACGGUGGUGAUGGUGGUCGCGAGUGAUAACGACGAUGCGGUUCGAUUUUUAGGGUUUUGAUUGGUGUUCAUGGGUUUUGAUUUGCUAAUUGUUGGACCUGGUGUUCUUGAUCGCUUGGUAGCUCAAUAAUGGAGUCAGGUAAGAAAAAUUAAUCCUAUGUGAGAGGCAUGUUGACAAUGGCUAUUGACACACCGAGACAUGUUGCCGGAAGUUCAUGUAUCUAAUCUUGCAAUUUCUCCAAUGUGAGGCAGAUUGCAUAAAGCCCAUUAGAUUGGUUCAAUUAUUCAUUAGUGUUCCUUCUAUGAAGUUUGGGUGAUUUCGUUUGUGGACGGUAUAGUUGUCUUUUUUUUUUUCUUUUUUUUUUCCCCUUUUGAUGAUUAUCCAUCUUUCUGACAUGAGUUUUUCCUUUUGUUUACAACAGGCCUCUACCGAGUGAUAUAUCUUCUUACAAGACGCAUGAUUUUCUCAAAUUGUGAAGGGAUCAUUAGACGAUUUCAUCGAUGCAAAUAUUCAGCUAGCAUUGACUGUUGCGAGGAAACUUCAAGAGAAAAUGCAACUCAGAUCAUGCAUAGUGUUUCCUGACAAGCCUGAAAAGCGUAGGGCCACUCAGUUUUUCAGGACUGCUAUUGACUCGGUAACAAUAUCUAUCCUCAACUUGAUAUCUAGCUGAAAACAAGCUUACUGGAACAUUACCUGUCUCAAAUGGGACUAAACCAGGUCUUGAAAUGCUGCAUAGUUGUAAGCACUUUCACUUUGGAAGAUAUCAACUCUCUGGCUCAAUUCCACCUCAGCUACUCCAUGAAAAUAUGACACUUGCUUAUUCAUUUGCUACGAUGUUUGCUUUUGAUUUCGGCUAGUUCUUUGUCACAUUUCUUUCUAGACCACUUAUUUGAGGUAAUGCUCUUUCGCCAACAUUAUUGUGAAUAACUGCAUCUUGUAGACUUAUAGUAUGAGGUGAUUAAAGUUAAAAAAUAAAGCUAAUACUUGGGUAGUAGAACAUUGUUUAGUGAUCCAAUGCAAUUUAUAUUAGAAAUUGUUUCCUCUACCGGGUUCUUGUUUGAAGAUUUUCCUGCUGUCAGCGUUGUGUAUCAUGAGAAAGUUGUGAAUAUUGAAUCUGUUGGCCUUUUGGGUUACUCUGAAAAAAAUGUAGUGGAAGACACAUGGUUUGUAAAAUCUGUUUUCCAUUCUAUUUAAAUAAUUAUAGUUGAUCAGGCCAUUCUUGAUUCUUGCUACUAAUUUUCUUUAUGAGUUUGUUUAGAGAUAUUGGAGUAUUGUUAAUGUUCGUAUUGGAUAUGAGUUCACAGGGUAUGAUAAUACGAAGAUAAAGCUUGACAAAGACAAUUUAUCACUUUGAAGUACUUUGCUUGGUUUUGUAUAAUUUUGUUGCAUGUAUAGUAGUUAUCCUACUCAAUUCUGAUUAAGGUUUUUUUUUUUUUUUUUUUUUUUUUUUUUUUUUUUUUGUUUAUUCUCCUGUUUUAUUAUCUAUAUAUAAAAAGAGCAUUAGGAUCUUUGAUUUUGUAUACAUGGCUAACUUUAAUUUUAAUUGAUUUUGGCAAGCUUAAAUUGACAAAUGUACAUAAUGAAGCUUGGAAAACAGUGACAAGAUAUAUAAACAAUAAAAAACAAUCUCAGAUCAAUGUCAAAAUGUGACUUCUUUAAGCUUUUGUGCUACUGCAAUGUUGGGAUGUUUAUGUUGGUUGUUAUGUUGCUUUUGAUAACUAUAGGACAUCUAGUGCUCUAAAUUUGUCUUUAUUUUGAUCCAAACACCCAAUUUUGUUGGUAAAAAAUGGUUAAAGGGAGAGUAGACUUAGUUGCUGUUCUUCUGAAGAUAUUGCAUUCUUGAAAGUCUGUAAAAUAGGGGAAAUUGAUGUGAAAGGGAGGGGGGCUGUUUUUACUCGUAUGGAUAGCUGGGUGCCCUGGUUUAUUGUUUUUUAGAUGAGUUUGGUGUGUGCCCUCCUUAUUUGGCUUAUGGUUGCUGUUGGUUGCCGCUUCUGGUUUGGUUUUAGUGUUGGAUCUGAUAGUGGCAGAUCAGCGGCUGUGGUUCAGGGUUCUACUUGCUUGCAGCCUAUUUUGUGCCUGUUGUGUUUUUGUUUGGUUUUGGGUUGGCUGCUGCCUGUAUUGGCUUCAGGGUGCUGUUGUUGCUGUUGUGGCCUGCGGUCUAACAUGAGUAUUAUUGUAUAGUUGAAUUCUCCGUGCGUUUUGAACUUUUCUCAUGUUGAUUGUGGCCUUGAUCUAGUGUAAUUUAUAAUUUAGUUCUAUUAUAUUUCUAUUACUUUAUUCUAUUUUACGUGUAGGUGCAUGGGGAGCUAAAUGGAGCUGAAGCAUAGUAACUAGCUAGUCAUUUAACAAAUGGUGCAUAUAUGUUGGCGACUCUUAUUCAAGCUCAACUUUGUGAAGAUUUGGAAAUUCCGGCUUAUAUAUAUGUUGAAAAUUUGUAUUUUGGAGGAUUAAAUUAAUUAUAUAACUUUUAUUUAUUAUUAGUAGGGUGUCAUACAAAAAACAAGCAACUAAUAUUUUAUAAUGUACGUAUUUAGCAUUAUAAUUAUUUUAUAUAAAUUUAAUGAUAUUUUGUUUCUUAGUAUUUUUAGAUUUGUACCGACUAUUUAUACAUAUAUUAUAUUACCGUACAAUUCAAAAAAAAAAAAAAAAAAAAAAAAAAGAUCAAAUGAUCAAUCCGUUGCAGUAGAUACGUACUCCAUACAUCAUUUGUAUUAAUUAGCUUCAGCCGUUGCAAUAGGUGUUAAUUUCAUCACAAUUAGUAGUAAGUAAUCUAUUGCAACGGAUAAUUUAUACCGUGGCAUUAGGUGUAGAGCUAUCGCAACGGAUUAUAGCUGCCGUGGUAUUAGGUGUUGUAUACCGUUGCAAUAGACCUACUGCAACGCCAGCAAAUGCAACGGUACAUGGCCGUUGCAUUAGUCCUAAUGCCACGGAAUUUGACGCCUAAUGCAACGGAUUUGGGGGUUGCAAUAGGUCAAAAAUGUAGUAGUGAAAUAACUCUCAGAACUCCAAAUAAUUAACUUUAAAAAAAAAUAACUUCCUUUCCAAAAAAAAAAAAAAAAAAAAAAAA
Chenopodium quinoa (quinoa) is the source of this 3375-nucleotide long non-coding RNA. RefSeq lists it as uncharacterized. The transcript has 7 exons. Lineage: Eukaryota; Viridiplantae; Streptophyta; Magnoliopsida; Caryophyllales; Amaranthaceae. The record is from RefSeq and is a predicted model, not a curated record.